GCCGUCCUAGCUCAGCUGGUAGAGCGCGCGGCUUUUAACCGCGUGGUCGUGGGUUCGAUUCCCACGGACGGCG
This 73-nucleotide transfer RNA is filed under the name Ananas comosus (pineapple). It matches the Rfam family "tRNA". Rfam says of the family: Transfer RNA (tRNA) molecules are approximately 80 nucleotides in length. Their secondary structure includes four short double-helical elements and three loops (D, anti-codon, and T loops). Lineage: Eukaryota; Viridiplantae; Streptophyta; Magnoliopsida; Poales; Bromeliaceae. The record is from Rfam by way of RNAcentral.